RNAcentral lists this ribosomal RNA (433 nucleotides) under uncultured bacterium. Its description in RNAcentral is "partial 16S ribosomal RNA". It matches the Rfam family "Bacterial small subunit ribosomal RNA", at positions 29 to 507 of the family's 1533-position model. The record is from RNAcentral.
AACGAACGCUGGCGGCAUGCCUAACACAUGCAAGUCGAACGAGACCUUCGGGUCUAGUGGCGCACGGGUGCGUAACGCGUGGGAACCUGCCCUUAGGUUCGGAAUAACUCCCCGAAAGGGGUGCUAAUACCGGAUAAUGUCUUCGGACCAAAGAUUUAUCGCCUUUGGAUGGGCCCGCGUUGGAUUAGCUAGUUGGUAGGGUAAAAGCCUACCAAGGCGACGAUCCAUAGCUGGUCUGAGAGGAUGAUCAGCCACACUGGGACUGAGACACGGCCCAGACUCCUACGGGAGGCAGCAGUGGGGAAUAUUGGACAAUGGGCGAAAGCCUGACGCAGCAAUGCCGCGUGAAUGAUGAAGGCCUUAGGGUUGUAAAGCUCUUUUACCCGGGAUGAUAAUGACGGUACCGGGAGAAUAAGCGCCGGCUAACUCCGUG